Molecule: ribosomal RNA, 236 nt
Filed under: uncultured bacterium
Lineage: Bacteria
Description: partial 16S ribosomal RNA
Rfam family: Bacterial small subunit ribosomal RNA
Source: RNAcentral
UACAGAGGUCCCAAGCGUUGUUCGGAUUCAUUGGGCGUAAAGGGUGCGUAGGUGGCGCUGUAAGUGGGGUGUGAAAUCCCGGGGCUUAACCCCGGGACUGCAUUCCAUACUGCAGUGCUUGAGGACUGGAGAGGAGACUGGAAUUUACGGUGUAGCAGUGAAAUGCGUAGAGAUCGUAAGGAAGACCAGUGGCGAAGGCGGGUCUCUGGACAGUUCCUGACACUGAGGCACGGAAG